RNAcentral lists this ribosomal RNA (465 nucleotides) under uncultured bacterium. Its description in RNAcentral is "bacterial SSU rRNA". It matches the Rfam family "Bacterial small subunit ribosomal RNA", at positions 198 to 644 of the family's 1533-position model. The record is from RNAcentral.
GGAGGAAAGCAGGGGAUCGCAAGACCUUGCGCUUUUGGAGCGGCCGAUGCCUGAUUAGCUUGUUGGUAAGGUAAAAGCUUACCAAGGCUUCGAUCAGUAGCUGGUCUGAGAGGACGGCCAGCCACACUGGGACUGAGACACGGCCCAGACUCCUACGGGAGGCAGCAGUGGGGAAUUUUGGACAAUGGGGGCAACCCUGAUCCAGCCAUGCCGCGUGAGUGAAGAAGGCCUUCGGGUUGUAAAGCUCUUUCAGCCGGAACGAAACGGUUACGGUUAAUACCCGUGACUAAUGACGGUACCGGAAGAAGAAGCACCGGCUAACUACGUGCCAGCAGCCGCGGUAAUACGUAGGGUGCGAGCGUUAAUCGGAAUUACUGGGCGUAAAGCGUGCGCAGGUGGUUUUGUAAGUCAGAUGUGAAAUCCCCGGGCUCAACCUGGGAACUGCGUUUGAAACUACAAAGCUAG